This 466-nucleotide ribosomal RNA is filed under the name uncultured bacterium. Its description in RNAcentral is "partial 16S ribosomal RNA". It matches the Rfam family "Bacterial small subunit ribosomal RNA", at positions 28 to 507 of the family's 1533-position model. The record is from RNAcentral.
GAUGAACGCUGGCGGCGUGCUUAACACAUGCAAGUCGAACGAUGAAGCCCAGCUUGCUGGGUGGAUUAGUGGCGAACGGGUGAGUAACACGUGAGUAACCUGCCCUUAACUCUGGGAUAAGCCUGGGAAACUGGGUCUAAUAUCGGAUAGGAGCGUCCACCGCAUGGGGGGUGUUAGAAAGAUUUAUCGGUUUUGGAUGGACUCGCGGCCUAUCAGCUUGUUGGUGAGGUAAUGGCUCACCAAGGCGACGACGGGUAGCCGGCCUGAGAGGGUGACCGGCCACACUGGGACUGAGACACGGCCCAGACUCCUACGGGAGGCAGCAGUGGGGAAUAUUGCACAAUGGGCGAAAGCCUGAUGCAGCGACGCCGCGUGAGGGAUGACGGCCUUCGGGUUGUAAACCUCUUUCAGUAGGGAAGAAGCGAAAGUGACGGUACCUGCAGAAGAAGCACCGGCUAACUACGUG